This 388-nucleotide ribosomal RNA is filed under the name uncultured bacterium. Its description in RNAcentral is "bacterial SSU rRNA". It matches the Rfam family "Bacterial small subunit ribosomal RNA", at positions 30 to 418 of the family's 1533-position model. The record is from RNAcentral.
AUUGAACGCUGGCGGCAUGCUUUACACAUGCAAGUCGAACGGCAGCACGGGGGCAACCCUGGUGGCGAGUGGCGAACGGGUGAGUAAUACAUAGGAACGUAUCCUGAAAUGGGGGAUAGCUCGGCGAAAGCCGGAUUAAUACCGCAUACGAUCCACGGAUGAAAGCAGGGGAUUCGCAAGAACCUUGCGUUUCUGGAGCGGCCUAUGUCUGAUUAGCUAGUUGGCGGGGUAAAAGCCCACCAAGGCGACGAUCAGUAGCUGGUCUGAGAGGAUGAUCAGCCACACUGGGACUGAGACACGGCCCAGACUCCUACGGGAGGCAGCAGUGGGAAUUUUGGACAAUGGGGCAACCCUGAUCCAGCCAUGCCGCGUGAGUGAAGAAGGCCUC